Molecule: small RNA, 68 nt
Filed under: Legionella worsleiensis
Lineage: Bacteria; Pseudomonadati; Pseudomonadota; Gammaproteobacteria; Legionellales; Legionellaceae
Description: Salmonella enterica sRNA STnc40
Rfam family: Salmonella enterica sRNA STnc40
Source: Rfam by way of RNAcentral
UUAGCCACGUAAUGUCCCCAUUAAAUAAUAAUAACGAAAAAAAAGGCGCAGAAAACUGCGCCUUUUUU